Molecule: ribosomal RNA, 253 nt
Filed under: uncultured bacterium
Lineage: Bacteria
Description: partial 16S ribosomal RNA
Rfam family: Bacterial small subunit ribosomal RNA
Source: RNAcentral
UACGUAGGGUGCAAGCGUUAAUCGGAAUUACUGGGCGUAAAGCGUGCGCAGGCGGUUUUGUAAGUCUGACGUGAAAUCCCCGGGCUCAACCUGGGAAUUGUGUUGGAGACUGCAAGGCUAGAAUCUGGCAGAGGGGGGUAGAAUUCCACGUGUAGCAGUGAAAUGCGUAGAGAUGUGGAGGAACACCGAUGGCGAAGGCAGCCCCCUGGGUCAAGAUUGACGCUCAUGCACGAAAGCGUGGGGAGCAAACAGG